Phrynosoma platyrhinos (Desert horned lizard) is the source of this 71-nucleotide non-coding RNA. NCBI's taxonomy places the organism in Eukaryota, Metazoa, Chordata, Lepidosauria, Squamata, Phrynosomatidae. The record is from the annotation of a GenBank genome assembly.
GCUAGUGUGGCGUAGUGGUUUGAGUGCUGGAGUACAACUCUAGAGAUCCAGGGUUCAAUUCCUGCUCAGCC